GUGAAUCAUCGAAUCUUUGAACGCACAUUGCACUCCUUGGUAUUCCGAGGAGUAUGCCUGUUUCAGUAUCAUGAGCACUCUCACACCUAACCUUUGGGUUUUGUUGUGGAAUUGGGAUGCGCCGAUUUCAAUAGUCGGCACUCCUAAAAUGUAGUUCUUGGCUGUUUCCUACUACAGCAGUUUGGCCUAAUAGUUUUGACUUUUGUCAAAUCUUUGGCUACAUUUGCUUCUGGAAAUCAGUCUUGAUAAUACAGAAAACUCAUUCAAACUUUGAUCUGAAAUCAGGUAGGGCUACCCGCUGAACUUAAGCAUAUCAAUAAGCGGAGGAAAAGA
This 333-nucleotide ribosomal RNA is filed under the name Umbelopsidaceae sp. UAMH 5163. RNAcentral's name for it is "eukaryotic LSU rRNA". The stretch from base 272 to 333 matches the Rfam family "Eukaryotic large subunit ribosomal RNA", at positions 1 to 62 of the family's 3401-position model. RNAcentral also lists the same sequence under 1 other name. The record is from RNAcentral. Lineage: Eukaryota; Fungi; Mucoromycota; Umbelopsidomycetes; Umbelopsidales; Umbelopsidaceae.